GGCAUGUUGCCAGAGUGGUUAAUGGGUGAGACUUGAAUUCCACUGCGAAUUAAGCCAUCUCAUGACUUCGGUCGCGUAGGUUCAAAUCCUGCACAUGUCG
This 100-nucleotide transfer RNA is filed under the name Xylaria curta. RNAcentral describes it as "tRNA-Ser". It matches the Rfam family "tRNA". Rfam says of the family: Transfer RNA (tRNA) molecules are approximately 80 nucleotides in length. Their secondary structure includes four short double-helical elements and three loops (D, anti-codon, and T loops). The record is from RNAcentral. Lineage: Eukaryota; Fungi; Ascomycota; Sordariomycetes; Xylariales; Xylariaceae.